CUCGACAACAUAACUAACGAUCUAGCCUGCAACACUGUCCACCUCAUGAUAAAUAUAGUUGAUGUCCACGGAGAUGCAUCCUCCUCCCUGCCCUCUUCUUCCUAAAAAAAAAAUCCACCACCAAAUAUCACAUAUGCGCAACAUGCGAUAGCCACAUCCGUUUGCCUCUGCAUCCAGUCUACCAUUGUGAUAUAUUAUCUUUCAACAGCUA
RNAcentral lists this long non-coding RNA (211 nucleotides) under Elaeis guineensis (African oil palm). Its description in RNAcentral is "long non-coding RNA (EGUI_LNC013546)". The record is from RNAcentral. Lineage: Eukaryota; Viridiplantae; Streptophyta; Magnoliopsida; Arecales; Arecaceae.